AGCUUUGCGCAGUGGCAGUAUCGUAGCCAAUGAGGUUUAUCCGAGGUGCGAUUAUUGCUAAUUGAAAAGGACUCUUGAGAAAUGUACCUACUGUAAAGGCAAUUAAGAAUAAACACAUG
RNAcentral lists this small nuclear RNA (119 nucleotides) under Capra hircus (goat). RNAcentral describes it as "U4 spliceosomal RNA (ENSCHIG00000000891.1)". The stretch from base 1 to 82 matches the Rfam family "U4 spliceosomal RNA". From Rfam's summary of the family: U4 small nuclear RNA (U4 snRNA) is a component of the major U2-dependent spliceosome. The structure of U4 snRNA from yeast and human has been reported. U4 snRNA presents a k-turn RNA motif in the 5p-SL related to recognition of Snu13 protein. Lineage: Eukaryota; Metazoa; Chordata; Mammalia; Artiodactyla; Bovidae. The record is from RNAcentral.